AUGGGCGCAAGCCUGAUGCAGCCAUGCCGCGUGUGUGAAGAAGGCCUUCGGGUUGUAACGCACUUUCAGUCGUGAGGAAGGUGGUGUAGUUAAUAGCUGCAUUACUUGACGUUAGCGACAGAAGAAGCACCGGCUAACUCCGUGCCAGCAGCCGCGGUAAUACGGAGGGUGCGAGCGUUAAUCGGAAUUACUGGGCGUAAAGCGCAUGCAGGUGGUUUGUUAAGUCAGAUGUGAAAGCCCGGGGCUCAACCUCGGAAUAGCAUUUGAAACUGGCAGACUAGAGUACUGUAGAGGGGGGUAGAAUUUCAGGUGUAGCGGUGAAAUGCGUAGAGAUCUGAAGGAAUACCGGUGGCGAAGGCGGCCCCCUGGACAGAUACUGACACUCAGAUGCGAAAGCGUGGGGAGCAAACAGGAUUAGAUACCCUGGUAGUCCACGCCGUAAACGAUGUCUACUUGGAGGUUGUGGCCUUGAGCCGUGGCUAUCGGAGCUAACGCGUUAAGUAGACCGCCUGG
Molecule: ribosomal RNA, 513 nt
Filed under: Vibrio sp. 8Bf2S80
Lineage: Bacteria; Pseudomonadati; Pseudomonadota; Gammaproteobacteria; Vibrionales; Vibrionaceae
Description: bacterial SSU rRNA
Rfam family: Bacterial small subunit ribosomal RNA
Source: RNAcentral